GAGGGACAGAUACUGUAAACACCCUACACUCUCAGCUGUGCACAGUGAGAAAGCUGGGAGAAGGCUGUUUACUCUCUCUGCCUU
This 84-nucleotide microRNA precursor is filed under the name Cervus elaphus hippelaphus. It matches the Rfam family "mir-30 microRNA precursor family". From Rfam's summary of the family: This family consists of the mammalian microRNA (miRNA) precursor mir-30a. Animal miRNAs are transcribed as ~70nt precursors and subsequently processed by the Dicer enzyme to give a ~22nt product. In this case the mature sequence comes from both the 3' (miR-30) and 5' (mir-97-6) arms of the precursor. The record is from RNAcentral. Lineage: Eukaryota; Metazoa; Chordata; Mammalia; Artiodactyla; Cervidae.